This 987-nucleotide ribosomal RNA is filed under the name Triticum aestivum (bread wheat). RNAcentral describes it as "partial small subunit ribosomal RNA". The record is from RNAcentral. Lineage: Eukaryota; Viridiplantae; Streptophyta; Magnoliopsida; Poales; Poaceae.
AUGCUGGGCGUCUCCACCAGCCAGCUUUUGGUCAUCCUCGGGGCCUGCUCCGUGAUGAUGAAGCCCAGUGACAUGAUCAAGAUGGCAAGGGUGGCAGGGAGGAUGACCGGGAGAGCGGUCGGUCGCCUCAUGCUCUACCGCCGGCAGAUGGACGACAUCUUCGAGCAGACUGCAGCGAAGAAGAUUAAUACGGAGCUUCAAGAUGCCAUGUCAAAGUUACAAUCAAUUGGUUAUGAAGUUCAGAACUUAUCUAGAAUAACUCCUGGCCAGUUUAUCAAAAGGCAGCACAACACCGAGGGCAUGACUGAAGCAGGAACAUAUGAUGGUUCUGCAACUCAGAACUUACUGAUCCAUGGAUCGGCGGUGAUUUCUCUGUGGAUUGAGUGGUUGUCUCCACAAGCUGGUAAAUCCCACCCAAUUUCCCGCCCUUUUGGCGGCAUUGAAGAUCGGCAGUUCAGGCGGCAUUGUGGGAGCAGUGAUUUCAUUCGGGUACAAUCUGGAGAAUUUCGUGAUGAUAUUCGCAGUAUAAUUCGUGAUGAAAUUGAGAGCUUUUGUAGAAAAAAUCCUGAUCAAUUUACCAGGAGAUUAAAUAAUUCUGACGGAAUUCAGAACUCUGAAAAACCAGCUGAAGCUACAAAAUUUGAUGUAACUAAUAAAUUUGCAAUGACAUCUAAGGACAUGGAAUCAGCGAAUGCAAGCUCUACAAAUCUGCACAGCCAAGCAAUGAUGUAUGCCAGGCUAAGUGUAUCCCCAGGAACUAAGAUGAGUUCUUCCAUGAGUGUGAGUUACGGAGAACAAUUCAAGGAGAGCAAUGGACUGCUAAAUGUACUCCCAAUAUCAGCUGAAAGUGCUGGAUUGCUUCCAAAACACGCAGGUGAGCCAAAAGGUUCAGAUAUACUCCUGGAGGCUGUGGUUGAAGCAGAGGUUGCGGAGAACGCUAAAUUUUUCGUCUCACAGCCUCAUGAUCCGUCAUUGCCCAAGGAGUAA